RNAcentral lists this transfer RNA (86 nucleotides) under Patescibacteria group bacterium. RNAcentral's name for it is "tRNA-Leu". It matches the Rfam family "tRNA". From Rfam's summary of the family: Transfer RNA (tRNA) molecules are approximately 80 nucleotides in length. Their secondary structure includes four short double-helical elements and three loops (D, anti-codon, and T loops). The record is from RNAcentral.
GCGGAUGUGGUGAAAUGGCAGACACGCUAGCUUCAGGAGCUAGUGCUCGCAAGAGCGUGAGAGUUCGAAUCUCUCCAUCCGCACCA